AAGUCGUAACAAGGUUUCCGUAGGUGAACCUGCGGAAGGAUCAUUAAUACGUCUAAACAACGUUUUAAACCUUUCAAAUUUGUGGAAAUUCUUACCAUUCCGGGUGCAUCUCUUUGGCAUGAGAAGGGACUUCUUGUUAUGAGACACUUCAGUGUAGAGCAGUGAGGUGAAAUCUGAGGUUUUGAUGGCUUGGAUUUGGUUCUGGAUCACGACUCUUUGGUGACAGAGAGUCAAAUGCUGAAUGCAUUCGGUUAUUACUGCUCUACAUUUUUUUAUUCUAUCAAACUUAUAAACCCCAUGUACAACAACUUGAACUAAACAUCUCUUCUGAUCACAUUGACUUGUGUGAUGAAGAACAAAUCUGAAAUUAAGAACAACUCUUAACAACGGAUAUCUUGGUUCUC
Molecule: unclassified non-coding RNA, 404 nt
Filed under: fungal sp.
Lineage: Eukaryota; Fungi
Description: partial internal transcribed spacer region
Rfam family: Eukaryotic small subunit ribosomal RNA (bases 1-46)
Source: RNAcentral